UGAUAACCUAACUGCUUUUGUAAAAUAGCCAAUCCACCCCUGGAUAGGCAGUGCUUACUUGUUGGGAUACUCGAGUUAUGGGUGAUGUGAUUUCCUUGUAUCAUAGUAAAAUGUUUUCCACUAACUAGAGAUUAGUUACUCUGUAUUAUUAACGUCAAAUGUAAAGAAAAGAAUUAACUUUAAUUUCCGAAGUAGAACUAAAUUAAAACUGACUAUUGAAAGGAAUUAAUCACGAGAAAGGUAAACAAUUAUACUAAUAGUUCUCAAAUCGAAUGGAUGUUACCGAUACUUAAAAAAAAACCUUGUCAACUUGUAGUUAAUUAGACAAUAAAUGUUUCACUCUUGACGGAGUACAUGUUAGUGAAAUGUGGCUACUUUGAUGUAGGCUGACCUGCACUUCACACAGAAUGUAAUCAACGUUAUACCUAUAUUGUUUUAUUUUUUUUUAACUUUGUCAGUUAAAUUUACACUGCUACUGUUUUUUAUAUUAAUGAAAUCCCUUGAAUGUAAUGUUGAAUAUAAAAAAUACGUCAUCGGUACAGCUUUGUAUUAAUGUACUUUUUUUACAUUUGAUUGGUGUAUUUGAGACCACUCAUAAAUUAAAACUACUUGGUUUUGUUUUGCAGAGAGCUUUACACGUUAUCCGUGUGGUAACUGAAUUGUAUAUUAACCAAUUUUCCGUUUUGUUUUUGUAAUUAUUGGUUGUCCUAACAUAACAUGAUUUGUACUGGUUAUUUAUUUAGGCUAAACAACUCUCAUGUUACACCUGUAUCUGUGGUUUAUAGCUUGAUAGAAACUAUCGUGUGUACAUCUUUUAUUAAAGCUCAUUCUACUACUGUGAAAGGAAUACCAUUAAUUGCACUGUUUGCUCAUAUUCUUGUAUACAGUAAUUAUUGACAUAACCCAUAUUAAUUUCAGAAACAAAAUGCAAAUAUAUAAAUAUAUAUAUAUAAAGCUAUGAUUUUAUCCUAUAGCUAGAUAAAUAUGAAUAGCUUUAAAACUUGAGAAUGUUAUAUUUCUCAUUGACUGUGUGUGUGUGUGUGUUUGGUUAUAAGUACUAGUUAGAAAACUGUUUUAUUUACUAAUGUAGUGAAAUAUCUUAGCAUAACAUCAUUCAGGUAUUAAAGAUUUAUUUUCAUUGUUUUGUAAGUUGUUUACGGGGGUUUUCUUUGUACAAGUUAGUAAGAAAACACAUUAUUGAAAGGUUCUGCCUGAUGAAGAUGUUUAAAAGUUAUUUGUAAUAGAACAUGGAAUUAGAAAUAAGAGUGGUUGUUCAGUUUAAUUGUUUUUUAUGAGAGAAUUAGCUAGCAAAUGUCUGCCUCUUUUGUAAAUGGUUUCAAAUAUAAAAUAGUUUAUCUAGUUUGAUGUAUAUCAUCAACAUUUAAAGCUAAUGUUAAAGUAGGCUUAAAUAAAAACAUGUUAGGAAGUGAUCAUUUGUAUUUUGCUUUGAGUUACGUUUAUAGCACAACAUUUGUUUAUAUAUAUAUAUAUAUAUAUAAAAUAAAUCAAAACCUGAAAGAACAAUCAUAGUUAACUGUCAAUUUUAUUCCAAUAAUUUGUCAGACCUGUGUUUUUAGAACUUAUGGUGUAUCUACUUUUGUUUGCAUUAUCUUUAAGGAUAUAUAUAUAUAGUCUUAAUUUAUAUACAAGCCUAAACUCUUGAACUACGAGGAUAAUCUUGUGUCAAGUGGAAUUUAGAAGCAUGUUUCUUAGAUUUGAAUAAUGAAGUUUUAGUAAUUAUAUUUCAAUUGAAAGUUUGUUAGUAUGACACACAUUUUUAUAUAUUUAUUUUAAAAUAAUAAUUUGUUAACCUGUAGACAACAUCACACAAUUCUUUUUUUAGUGUAUUAGGGAAAGAAGUGUGAUACUGUUCAUCUCAAGGCAUUGACGGUUCAGAAUAAGAUUACAGUUCGUAAUAAAUAUGGGCUUGUAAAUUGAUAAUGUUUCAAGUUUAGCCUAUCAAUGUAUUUUCUCA
Molecule: long non-coding RNA, 1975 nt
Filed under: Limulus polyphemus (Atlantic horseshoe crab)
Lineage: Eukaryota; Metazoa; Arthropoda; Merostomata; Xiphosura; Limulidae
Description: uncharacterized LOC111083400
Source: RNAcentral